UAUGCAAGUAUUUUUCGUCCUCUAAAAAUAGCCUAGCAUCUUUCGACUUUUGCUUCGGAUGUAUAAGAGAAGUUGACUCGGUAUAACCUGCUGUUAAAAUCGUAUUCAGUAUUAAAGAAAAAUACUGAAUUAAACUAGAUGGUUUAUACUAAAAAUACAGCUUGUAAUUACUAUCAUAAAAUCACACUCUCUUCAGUUGGUUCCUUUGUUUUAUUAUAGCUCGUGUAAUCUUUAUGCAACAGCCAUACAAAAAUUUUGCAAAACAUCAAACGAAGAAAGGAUUAAUUUGAGAAAUUGAAGCGAGAUAACGAAGUAAUGUGACUAGGUCAUGAGUAAGGACGCUAUAAGAAUUUAAGUGAGCAUUUUCAUGAGAAUGACUUAAGCACAAUAUCUACAUAUCUAAAAACUUUUUUUUUGACAUAGAGAAAAAGGUUACAUCAUUAAUUUGAAGCUCACAAAAUAAUAUUUUAAAGAUCUAUCAACAAUUAUGCAACACCACCUUGCAUGCUUUUUCCCUUCGACUUUAUCUUGACAUUGGUGCGAUCCCGUUUAGGAAUCCAGCGUUGAGGGUCUGGAGUAGCCUUAGGAUUGAAGCUUUUAGGGGUGGGUUUUCUUCUCUUCCGAGUCUUUUUACUAGAAUUUGACGAAUUCGCUUCUACAGAACGCUUAAUAGGCCCUAUAGCUGCCGAAACAGGAACACCUCUAAUUUCAAUGUCGUCCACGUCAAUUCCUGUAAUUAAAUCUUUAGUGGGUACAAGGUAUUUAUCCAUACCAGAUUCAAUUUCCUUAUCCAGAUAGCAAAGAGCAGCAACUUUACAAGAAACUAAUUCGCUUAUUGGGCCCUUCCAUUGAAGUAAAUCAUCAAUUACACUCAUAUCAUCUUGAAUAGUACUCACUGGAGCUCUUUCAUCAAGGUGAGCUAGAAGAGACCGAGUACAAAGAAGAAGUUUAGCUUCACACGACUGUUGCUUUCUCCAGUAGUUAGCAGCCUCAUGUAGUAAUUGGGAUUUAAAACCUGUUGAUUGAAUCUUAUAGUGUAAUGCAUCGCCUAAUCCAACCAAGCCCGGAGAAUAUAAAACCGAUAAACUUUGAGACGCUUCCAAACUUGUGCGGAGCUUUUGAUAGAUA
Non-coding RNA from Schizosaccharomyces pombe (fission yeast), 1128 nucleotides. The record is from the annotation of a GenBank genome assembly. NCBI's taxonomy places the organism in Eukaryota, Fungi, Ascomycota, Schizosaccharomycetes, Schizosaccharomycetales, Schizosaccharomycetaceae.